CAGUCGCCGCGGUAAUACGUAGGGUGCAAGCGUUAAUCGGAAUUACUGGGCGUAAAGCGUGCUCAGGCGGUUCUAUAAGACAGAUGUGAAAUCCCGGGCUCAACCUGGGAACUGCAUUUGUGACUGUAGAGCUGGAGUACGGCAGAGGGGGAUGGAAUUCCGCGUGUAGCAGUGAAAUGCGUUGAGAUCGGAAAGAACACCAACGGCGAAAGCACUCUGCUGGGCCGACACUGACACUGAGAGACGAAAGCUAGGGGAGCAAAUGGGAUUAGAUACCCGUGUAGUCCCUGUCUCUUAUACC
This 301-nucleotide ribosomal RNA is filed under the name uncultured bacterium. RNAcentral describes it as "partial 16S ribosomal RNA". It matches the Rfam family "Bacterial small subunit ribosomal RNA", at positions 509 to 808 of the family's 1533-position model. The record is from RNAcentral.